AAAAAUUUAGUUAAAAUAUAACAUUAACUUGUCAAGUUAAAAUAAUUAAUAAUUAAUAAUUUUUA
RNAcentral lists this transfer RNA (65 nucleotides) under Pygoluciola sp. 2 XHF-2022a. Its description in RNAcentral is "tRNA-Asp". Lineage: Eukaryota; Metazoa; Arthropoda; Insecta; Coleoptera; Lampyridae. RNAcentral also lists the same sequence under 2 other names. The record is from RNAcentral.